RNAcentral lists this ribosomal RNA (252 nucleotides) under uncultured bacterium. RNAcentral describes it as "partial 16S ribosomal RNA". It matches the Rfam family "Bacterial small subunit ribosomal RNA", at positions 525 to 776 of the family's 1533-position model. The record is from RNAcentral.
ACGGAGGGUGCAAGCGUUACUCGGAAUCACUGGGCGUAAAGGGUACGUAGGCGGCCCGCUUAGCUGGAUGUGAAAUCCCACGGCUUAACCGUGGAACUGCGUCCAGAACUGGCGGGCUUGAGAACGGUAGGGGACAGUGGAACUCAAGGUGGAGCGGUGAAAUGCGUAGAGAUCUUGAGGAACACCGGUGGCGAAAGCGACUGUCUGGGCCGAUUCUGACGCUGAGGUACGAAAGCCAGGGUAGCGAACGGG